UAGCUCAGUACACGUGGAUAACAUGCCCUGAAGUGGAGGAUAUCUCGGGAAUUGAGGAUAAUACUCCAUAGAUCAUAGGAUCUGGAAUGACUUAUGGUCGAAAGUUCCGGCGCUUCAGGAUUGGUCUGCGGCCUAUCAGGUCGUAGUGGGUGUAACGGACCCACUAGCCGACGACGGGUAUGGGCCUUGAGAGAGGGAGCCCAGAGAUGGAUUCUGAGACACGAAUCCAGGCCCUACGGGGCGCAGCAGUCGCGAAAACUUCACACUGGAGGCAACUCCGAUGAGGGAAUUCCUAGUGCUAGCACAUUAGUGCUAGCUUUUCUUAGCGUAGAUACUUAACGGAUAAGGGGCUGGGUAAGACGGGUGCCAGCCGCCGCGGUAAUACCCGCAGCCCAAGUGGUGGUCGAUUUUAUUGAGUCUAAACGUUCGUAGCCGGUUUGGUAAAUCCUUGGGUAAAUCGAGAGGCUUAACUUUUCGAUUCCGAGGAGACUGCGAACUUGGGACCGGG
RNAcentral lists this ribosomal RNA (508 nucleotides) under uncultured bacterium. Its description in RNAcentral is "bacterial SSU rRNA". It matches the Rfam family "Archaeal small subunit ribosomal RNA", at positions 86 to 603 of the family's 1478-position model. The record is from RNAcentral.